Molecule: transfer RNA, 72 nt
Filed under: Coemansia erecta
Lineage: Eukaryota; Fungi; Kickxellomycota; Kickxellomycetes; Kickxellales; Kickxellaceae
Also listed under: 8 other names
Description: tRNA-Phe
Rfam family: tRNA
About the family: Transfer RNA (tRNA) molecules are approximately 80 nucleotides in length. Their secondary structure includes four short double-helical elements and three loops (D, anti-codon, and T loops).
Source: RNAcentral
GGGGCUUUAGCUCAGUGGGAGAGCGUGCGACUGAAGAUCGUACGGUCCCGUGUUCGAUCCACGGAAGCCCCA